Molecule: long non-coding RNA, 1278 nt
Organism: Anneissia japonica
Lineage: Eukaryota; Metazoa; Echinodermata; Crinoidea; Comatulida; Comatulidae
Exons: 6
Source: RefSeq, a predicted model, not a curated record
UAGAGCUCGCUGAUUGGCUGAAAGUGUUCAACAGCCACUACACUGAGCCAGCAUCGCGAGGAGGGAAUUUGAAAUGUUUAUUAUUAUUUGCAGGGCUGGAAAAAAUUCUACUCUCAGGAACUGUUGGAGGUGGAUUUAGCAUUGGUACUUCAGCGACACCAACCCAACCGGUUUCUAGAUUCAAGUUAGGUGGUCAAGGGUCCACAGGCCUAAAUCUUGGUGGUGGUAAAACUAUUGGGCAAGUGGCAACAACACUGAAGCUUGGUGGUAUUGCAACAUCUACAGACAUAACUACUACUCUUCUCUAGGAGGUCUUUCAUUUUCUGCUACAACAACUGCAUGCGGUUUAACAUUAGGAGGCACAAUCAACACCUUUGCUGGAACAACAGGAACAGGUCUCACUUUGUGAGGAGUAGCAUUUACAGGUGGCCUCAGUACAGGUGGUCUUGGAACUGGUGGCCUGGGUAUAGGUGGUCUUGGUGCAAAAAAACCUCCUAGUCUUGGAGCCGGAUUAGAAAUUGUUGGAACCGCGACACCCCCUGCCCUGCUGUCAGUACAGCUGGUAAAGGAUUAGAAGGGGUAGAUCCAGCUUCAUUGAAAACUAAUACAGUCAGCACUACUAAUGGAAGCACAAGUACAAGAGAUUAUGUGAAAAAACAGAAGGCCAUAGUUCAAGAGAUCGACCGUAUCUCACUAAAGCCGAUGCACAAAGUGAAAGAAGACAUGCUAGCUCUACGUCAGCUGCUGUCCGUUGUUGCCAACAGUCUGCAGACGAACACCAUGGCGAUCUAUAAGCUUUAGACGGACUCAGCAUAUGAACUAAAAAAUGUGACAUGGCACACCGAACCCAUGACGUACCCUGUCCCUGCAGAUGGACCAUACCGCCCCUGCAGAUUACCUUACAGAUAUUUUCAGAGCUUUGAAGAGGAGAUGCAGCUAUACCAUCAAGAAAUUGAGCAGAUAGAGAGCGACCUGAUGUCACUCUCGAGGCCUUAUGUGCGGAUCUUCUGUAGUAUGCAAAUUUAGUACUGCAAUGAACCUGCUAAAUGUUAGUAUGGUAGUAACAAAACUUAAUAUAAAAUAUUAAUACAAACAGAAAGUACUAAAAAAAUUAACAAAACUAAUGACAUAAUAAAAGUUUUUAAGACACAUGAUGAUUUUGCCAGGCACACACUCUAUCUUUUAUGGCCAUAUGCUUUCCACAUAAAAAAAAAAUAUCAAGGCGUCUUAAAACCACUAAUUAAAGUAUUAAUAGUCAUGAGAAAAGGGGACAAAGUU